ACUCAAAUGAAUUGACGGGGACCCGCACAAGCAGUGGAGCAUGUGGUUUAAUUCGAUGCAACGCGAAGAACCUUACCCAGUCUUGACAUGCAUUGGACAGUUCUAGAGAUAGGAUCUUCCUUCGGGACCAAUGCACAGGUGCUGCAUGGCUGUCGUCAGCUCGUGCCGUGAGGUGUUGGGUUAAGUCCCGCAACGAGCGCAACCCUUAUCAUUAGUUGCCAACACGUGAAGGUGGGAACUCUAAUGAGACUGCCUGGGUUAACCAGGAGGAAGGUGAGGAUGACGUCAAGUCCGCAUGGCCCUUAUGACUGGGGCUACACACGUGCUACAAUGGUCGGUACAGAGGGCAGCGAAGCCGCGAGGUGAAGCAAAUCCCACAAAGCCGAUCUCAGUUCAGAUUGUAGUCUGCAACUCGACUACAUGAAGAUGGAAUUGCUAGUAAUGGCGUGUCAGCAACAACGCCGUGAAUACGUUCCCGGGUCUUGUACACACCGCCCGU
Molecule: ribosomal RNA, 499 nt
Filed under: uncultured bacterium
Lineage: Bacteria
Description: partial 16S ribosomal RNA
Rfam family: Bacterial small subunit ribosomal RNA
Source: RNAcentral